GUCCACGCCGUAAACGAUGUCUACUAGUUGUCGGUUGUCUUGUACGACGGGUAACGCAGCUAACGCGAUAAGUAGACCGCCUGGGGAGUACGGCCGCAAGGUUAAAACUCAAAUGAAUUGACGGGGGCCCGCACAAGCGGUGGAGCAUGUGGUUUAAUUCGAAGCAACGCGAAGAACCUUACCUGGCCUUGACAUCCUGCGAACUUUCUAGAGAUAGAUAGGUGCCUUCGGGAACGCAGAGACAGGUGCUGCAUGGCU
Molecule: ribosomal RNA, 258 nt
Filed under: uncultured bacterium
Lineage: Bacteria
Description: partial 16S ribosomal RNA
Rfam family: Bacterial small subunit ribosomal RNA
Source: RNAcentral